Molecule: long non-coding RNA, 818 nt
Filed under: Sorghum bicolor (sorghum)
Lineage: Eukaryota; Viridiplantae; Streptophyta; Magnoliopsida; Poales; Poaceae
Description: long non-coding RNA (SBIC_LNC005814)
Source: RNAcentral
CCCGCAUCGGUUAAUCGAUAAUAAAAAACAAAAAAAAAAUCCACGAGUCCACCAACGAGACCGUUCCAAGCCGGACUGACCCUGUUGUGCUACACGUAGGAAUAGGGACACAGACUGCCGCCGUCACCGGAUCCAUGUGCAUCCGACCUCCUCCUCGCUGGAUCCGAGCAUGGCUGGCCAUCUCCACACCAGAUCCAUAGAUGCCCUUCCACGCCAUAGCCAGAUCUAGUGCCCUAGGAGAAAGAGAGAGUGAGGGAGAGAGGAGCGAGGAGAGAUGGAGAGUGAGGACGAGAAGAGCGGAUCCAGUUACCUAUGUCCAAGAGCGGAUCAAGGCCGACCUCCUCCAUGCCCGCCUGAUCCAGUGGAGCUCACCACCAAAUCCGGUGGAGCUCGAUGAGAAGAGCGUAUCCUCCAUGCCACCACCAGGUGUGUGAGCUGGGGGCUAUGUCGGGCCACCACAUCGCCACUAGGUGUGUGAGCAGGGGCCACGUCGGGCCGCCACCAUCGUUGAGCUCCACCAUUGAGAUCCAUGCUGACUCCACUGUCGUGGGGGAGAGAGAGGGACACCGUCGUAGGAGGCAAUGCUAGGGAGAGGAUGAGCAUUGGGGAAGGGAGAGGGCGCGGGGGAGAGGGUGGUCCCGAGUUGGAGGGGGGGCAGCGCCACUCGAAGGGAAUUAAAGGGAGGGCGCUCGAAUGAGUCGGUUGAGGAGGGAGAGGGAGAGGAAGAGAGUGGGAGUGAAGAAAGAAACCUUAACUUCCUUUAUUUAUAUCGAUGAUGGCUACGGUGCCUCGUUUGGGUCUAUUGGGUCUCAGCCUUU